AAGUCGUAACAAGGUUUCCGUAGGUGAACCUGCGGAAGGAUCAUUAUUGAAUUGAACCGCCUUGGGUUGUUGCUGGUGCUCCCUUCGGGGGGGUGCAUGUGCACGCCCAGGCCCUUCAUUUUCCACCUGUGCACUUUUGUAGGCAGCUCUGCGCCUCGGUUGAUCGUCUGUUCUCGCACGCCUCGCAAGAGGUGCUGCGGUUAGGGACUUGGCUCCUCGAGCCUUGUCCUGGGACUUUCAGCCUCGCAGGGAGCUGUCUACGUUACUCUAUAAACACGUUUGUAUGUCUAGAAAGUCCAUUACUGGUCGGAAGACCUUUAAUCUUACACAACUAUUGACAACGGAUCUCUUGGCUCAC
Molecule: unclassified non-coding RNA, 358 nt
Filed under: air metagenome
Description: partial contains small subunit ribosomal RNA and internal transcribed spacer 1
Rfam family: Eukaryotic small subunit ribosomal RNA (bases 1-46)
Source: RNAcentral